This is an RNA transcript of Passer montanus (Eurasian tree sparrow), 4460 nucleotides long. It is a transcript of the gene named MAP7 domain containing 2, with no coding region annotated. Lineage: Eukaryota; Metazoa; Chordata; Aves; Passeriformes; Passeridae. The transcript is spliced from 16 exons. The record is from RefSeq and is a predicted model, not a curated record.
UCCUGCAAAGUAACCUACUUUGGCUUUGAAGUGAUCAUUUAUCUGAGUGACUAGGUGGAGCCACUGGCAUUGCAGCAAUUUAACUGUGCUCAGAAAGGGAUGGGAAAAAAUUCUGAUGUCUGCAUAGACAAGAAGGAGUUAAUGCUUGUCGAGCAUUAUUCUUAUACAAAUUAAGUCCAGAGCACAGCAGCAGCCUCACCAGCAGGAGCAGAUGCUAGGCAGUGAUGCAACCUGUGUUAUUUACUUAGGCCUCUGUAGUGACCUCAGUGGCUUGCAGACAAAGGACACACAUAUCUGGAGGAACGUUUAGAAGCCAUGAUGCGCCGGUCCCUCGAACGCAGCCAGCAGCUGGAACAGAAGCAGAAGCGAUGGUCGUGGGGAGGAGCACUGGCUGCAGGCUCAGGAGGCAGAGAUGGUGAAUCAGAAAAUACCCCACCCCCUGUUCUAGGUUUAGCUGCCAACACCCUUCCUCCAGACCCUGUGACCUCUACUGCUCCUGCUGAUUCCUUCAAUGCAUGUGACAAACUUUCAGCUUCUACAAUGAAUCUGCCCAAGCAAAUGGAGUCGCCGAUCAGUAAACGCCUCUCGUCCUCCACAGCGGCCAUAACGCAUUCCCCCGACAGAGCUCACCGCAUGCAUCUUAGUCCAAUGGAAAACUUUAUUGUUUCUCGACUGCUGACUCCCACACAGUCAUCUUUAGCCAGAAGCAGAAGUACAUUAAUGCUUUCUGAGCAGUACAAUACUCCAGUAUUCCAUAUCUGUCCUCGUGUAGCACCAGCUAGUCCUCUUAAAUCUCCCUACAAGCCUUCCCCCACCCGAAGCACUGACAGGAAGAAGGCAACUUCACCCUCCACUGCCAAUGCCAUGAAAGGGGCACCUGCAGCUGAAGUUACUCAGACUGAGAAGAUAAAGAAGGAGAAGCGGCCUGCAACACCUGGUUCAUCUUCUGGUAUGGGAUCUCCUCUGAGAAGGUCUGAUUCUCCUGCUGCCAUGUCCAGAAGAUCUGCAUCGCCUGCAACACCUAAGACUGUUGCAAAGACUUAUCCUCAGUCUCCUAAAAACACCAAACAAUAUCCAGCUUCUCCUGUGAAGCAUCGUGCCACUUCCAAUAGCAGCCAGGAAACACCUAAAAAGAAAGCAGACAAGGAGAAAGAAAAUGUCAGUCACCUGAAGUCCCCAGGAGCACGCACUGAUGACGUGGGCCAGGUGGCUCCUGAGAAGCACAUGCCUUCUGCUGGAAAGGCUGAGAACAGUGAAGGGAAGAUCACAGCAGGAACAAGUGAUGCAGAAGAAGCUGCAAAAAUUCUAGCUGAAAAAAGACGACAGGCACGCCUGCAAAAAGAACAAGAGGAAAAGGAGAAACAGGAAAGAGAAGAACGAGAAAGGCUUGAGAGAGAAGAGCAGAAAAGAAAGGCAGAAGAAGAAAGACUUCGUCUGGAAGAAGAAGCUCGUAAGAAGGAGGAGGAAAGAAAACGUGAAGAGGAGGCAGCUAGAAAAAAGGCAGAAGAGGAAGCCAGAAGAAGAGCUGAGGAAGAACAAAUGCUAAAGGAAAAGCAAGAAAAAGAGCUCCAAGCCAAGCUUGAGAAACAGAGGGAAGAAGCAGAAAUCAAAGCCCGUGAGGCAGCUGAACAGCUUCGUCUUGAAAGGGAGCAAAUCAUGCAGCAAAUUGAGCAAGAAAGGCUGGAGCGGAAGAAGAGAAUAGAUGAAAUAAUGAAGAGAACAAGGAAGAGUGAAACCCCAGAAACAAAGAAGGAAGAGCCAAAACUGGAGAUCCCCUCAACUUUGAAUGUGGAAAAGCAACCAAAGGCCCUUGUUCUCAACCAGCCAGAGAUCAAUGGAUUGGCAACCUGCCUGAAAAAUAAAAGCUUAGAAAGUGCUGCUUCUGUCAUCCCUUCCCAAGAUGUAGUUGCUAAUGGACUGAAGUCAGUUUCAGGACUUAUUCAGCUGGAAGCUGUUGAUGGGAAAUCUAACAGCAUGGAAGAUUCAACAGAUGAGGUUCAGUCCAUGGAUGUGAGCCCGGUUUCAAAAGAAGAACUUAUCUCUAUCCCUGAAUACUCACCCAUGAAUGAACUCAUGCCUGGUGUUUCUUUGGACCAAAAUGGGACAAGUAAUGCCAAGGCUCUUGAAGACCUCUUGGAUUUCACAGGCCAAGCUACCUACUCCAAGAUGUCCAGUGAUACCCUUAGCCUAGAUGACUGUAACAAAAACUUGAUUGAGGGAUUUAACAGCCCAGGACAAGAAAAUACACUUAAUUCUAUCUGUUGACAGCCUUGCUUUUCAGCAGAACAGAUAGAGGUACAGUAUUGUGAUAAACAUCUUAUGAUAAAUUGCUGUGAUUACUUCCCAGCUUCCAGCAUUUGUACAUGGCAGUGUGGGGAGAGAAAGAAAGCUGUUCUCCUAGGUAUUUAAAUUCAACAUAAUCUUUGAGAUUUGCAGCUGCCUGUGAAUUGGCAUCAUAUGCAAACUGAUUGUAUCAUAGCAACCAUAAGUAUCUGGUAAAUGGAAACAUUUCAUUUAGGCAUCCAGAAUUUCUUCAUUAAUACAAUACUUUCCCUGUAUGUCUUUGGAGCCUAUUUGCAUGAAGAAAACAGUUAAAAGUGGGGCCAGUCUAGGCCAUGGUACUUCUUGCUGCUGCUUACUCUUUUCUCUGCUGCUGUAAAACUUGCAGUGUAGAAUGCCCUGAAAAGCCAGCAUAGUAAAAACCCAUAGUGGGCUUCAGUCACAGUUUCAAAGUACAAAAUCGUGGGUCAGGUUUUUUGGAAGAGUAUAUUCUCUAAAUAGCAAAACUGAGGUCAUCAAACCUGUGUAGCUGACUUGAUAUUCUCUCUCUUUUUGAUUGACAGAGGUAACCAUUUCUGGAGGAUAUAUAUCCCUGUGAUGCUACUGGCAGUAAAAUAUGAACUUGUCACUUGAAAAAGCUUCUGCAGUCCUUGAACACUGGAUUUCAAAUAAUCAGAGCUGAAUAUACCUUGUCUUCCCAGGGAAUAUGUUGAAUAAUUGGCUGCUUUUGGUAGAAACCAAUGAUCUAGAGCCUUGAUUUUCAGGGAAGACAGAGCGUGCAUUAGAAUUUGAGCUUUAGCUGCUAAUAAAGCACUUAUUUCUUCUUUAAUUUAAAAUUCAUCUCAACACUUCACUGUGAUUUUUACCUGUGCAUUUUAUUUUUAAAUAAUUCCUUCCUAAGCUUGAUCAUACAUCCAUUUAGACAUCUUUUUCUUGUAAAUAAUGAUGGGGUUUGUCCACAGUGCAUUGAAACAAAAUAAUAUACUGUACUUUAGCUUUGUGCCUAUCUUUUUUUGUCUUUAAUAAGGAGUUAUUGGCAACUUUUAUGAGGUGUGUAAUUCAAAACUGUAGCUGAAGAGGCUUGAAAAACAUAUAGCUGCUGGAAUCAAAAGAGCCUUCUUAUUGACUGUGGAGUGGGGGAACUAUCCCUUUAUGAUUAUGUUGACACUUCUAGUCACUAGUGGCACUUACCAGUUAAUAUUAAUUAGUCUGGGAGCAACUAUCAACUGUGUUUGAAAUCAUAUUUGUGUAACACUUGUAAGCAAAUUAGGCAAAAUGCCAAGUAUAACCCCUUAAUAUAUGUGUAGUAUAGCUGUAGUAGAUCCGAGUGAGUGAUCAGGAGGGUGACACAUUAACCUUUGAAUAUGCAGACACUUGAUUGAUACCAGCAGGCUUUCUAUCACACAGAGAAGUAUUUUGUCUUCCUGUAGGCUCAACAAAAUGGGAUUUGGUCAGCAGCAAAACAAUAUGUGAGUGUCAGAAACACAAAGGCCAAAAUGCACGUCGGGAACACUGGGCGCCCUUAACGUUCUGUAAACAUCUCUAUGGAACAGCCCACGUCGAGGUGUACGAGGUCAGGACGUCAUGUGCUGCACAGUGCUAACUUUCUUUCUCUUGGUGAACCUUUAUGCUAGAUCAGGUGCUGCUUUGAUGACAUUUUGUCCAGUCCCUUAUAAGAAUAAAUUAUAAAUACAACUCUAUUUGGACACUAACACAAAAGAUAUGAAAACUUGGGAUGGGGGGGGGUGUUUGGCUUUUUUUUCCUUCUUUUUUUUCCAUGUGUAAGAGUUCACAGCAUAGAUUGACCUCAGUUGUAGCACCAUUCUUGUGCUCUUAAAAGUCAGCAGUGGGAAAGUAACCAGUGACAUGAUGUGCAAUGGCUAAAAAAAAAUCAUACCUACAACAACCCAGCUCUAUUUAUGUUAGUGUACUUCAAAGAAAUACUUUCUUUUGACUGUGCAGUAAGCUGUAGCAUGGUACUGUGUCUUCCAAAUUAGUCCUUCAUCUAUUUCCUAAAUAAUAAACAAACAGAAACAGUUUGUUUUGCUGUAAUACACUGUGUUUGACAAAUGUCAUAUUAUAUUUUACUAUGGUGUCAUUGUAUAACCUGUAGAUUUCUGUAUUUGCAUGACCUGUAUAGCAUGUAUAAAGGUGAAAUACAUUUUCAUUUAUGAAUCUGA